UAGGGAAUCUUCGGCAAUGGACGAAAGUCUGACCGAGCAACGCCGCGUGAGUGAAGAAGGUUUUCGGAUCGUAAAACUCUGUUGGUAGAGAAGAACGUUGGUGAGAGUGGAAAGCUCAUCAAGUGACGGUAACUACCCAGAAAGGGACGGCUAACUACGUGCCAGCAGCCGCGGUAAUACGUAGGUCCCGAGCGUUGUCCGGAUUUAUUGGGCGUAAAGCGAGCGCAGGUGGUUUAUUAAGUCUGGUGUAAAAGGCAGUGGCUCAACCAUUG
This 272-nucleotide ribosomal RNA is filed under the name uncultured bacterium. RNAcentral describes it as "partial 16S ribosomal RNA". It matches the Rfam family "Bacterial small subunit ribosomal RNA", at positions 355 to 618 of the family's 1533-position model. The record is from RNAcentral.